AUCAUCGAUCCAUUGAUGAAUAUAUAGUUUUUCUACACGAAACCAUCUCAGCUUCAAAAGGCUCCACCAGCACAUCAAGUCUGACGCAUCAGCUCUCUUUAAUUUACUCGGUAAAGUUUAGCCUUCGGAGCCGCAUCCAGUGAAAGAUCGAUGACAGAUCAACGAAGAGAAGAUCCAUGGAGUAGAAAAUGAAGACAAGUGCGUGACUCAUUCACUGAUGGAAAAGCUUCUUUAAUUACAAAAAAGAUAGCUGAAGACAAUUACAUCCAAUCUACAAGCCAAAUCGAUCCAGUAGCUAGCUCAAGGUCGUCCGUAUCAGGGCUGGACAUAUAUAAUACUGCGCAUACAUUGUUUCUUGCAAAGCAAUUGCAUGCAUUCUUCAUCCCUGGCCAUGUGGACAAAGAAUUGCAAGAACAAUAAUGCUCCACAAUCAUUCUAAAAGCCGAUGUCAAAUUAUUAGUACCAGUGCUACUUUAACUUAAUUUCAUCUUACCUUUUUCCUUC
Populus nigra (black poplar) is the source of this 504-nucleotide long non-coding RNA. RefSeq lists it as uncharacterized. The transcript is spliced from 2 exons. The record is from RefSeq and is a predicted model, not a curated record. NCBI's taxonomy places the organism in Eukaryota, Viridiplantae, Streptophyta, Magnoliopsida, Malpighiales, Salicaceae.